Molecule: ribosomal RNA, 237 nt
Filed under: uncultured bacterium
Lineage: Bacteria
Description: partial 16S ribosomal RNA
Rfam family: Bacterial small subunit ribosomal RNA
Source: RNAcentral
AAUCCUGGCUCAGGAUGAACGCUAGCGACAGGCUUAACACAUGCAAGUCGAGGGGCAGCACAGGUAGCAAUACCGGGUGGCGACCGGCGCACGGGUGAGUAACGCGUAUGCAACUUACCUAUCAGAGGGGGAUAACCCGGCGAAAGUCGGACUAAUACCGCAUGAAGCAGGGGUCCCGCAUGGGGAUAUUUGCUAAAGAUUCAUCGCUGAUAGAUAGGCAUGCGUUCCAUUAGGCAG